RNAcentral lists this long non-coding RNA (3012 nucleotides) under Ananas comosus (pineapple). RNAcentral's name for it is "long non-coding RNA (ACOM_LNC008333)". The record is from RNAcentral. Lineage: Eukaryota; Viridiplantae; Streptophyta; Magnoliopsida; Poales; Bromeliaceae.
GCCAAUUUGCAUAAAAAAUCCACUAGUUUUGGGCUUUUGCAAAACCGGGCCACAAUUUUCGUUUUUGCAGAUUCGGUCCGCUUUUUCAAAAAGAUGACCAAACUACCCCUCUUUCAAAAUUCAUAAGAAGUACAUGCAUUAAUUAUCUUGAAAAAUGCAGCUGAUAAGUCAUUAUUACAGUUACCUUUUUCUUGGAAAAUGAAAUUCUUAUUAACAUACAAAUAAAAAACUUCAAAUAAUAAAAGUAAAAAAGAAAGAAUGGAAUACACCUUAAAUAGUGCAACAUCGUUUCAAAUUGUGCAAUAUUUCUUCCAAAUAGUGUAAUAUUUGUAUAAACAGUGCAAUGUUUGCACAAUUUAUAUAAUGUUGCACAAUUUUUUAUACUAAAUUACGAAUAAUAUAGUAUACUACGGGCAAAUAAUAUAACGUAUUACAAUAUACUAUAAAAAUCAUGUAUUAUAUGUAUAAACGGUGAAUAUUUUACACUAUUUGUACAAAUAUUUACACUAUUUGCAUAGAUGUUACACUAUUAUGAGAUAAUGUUGCACCAUUUAGAUGUUAUGUUGCACUCUUUCUUUUUAAAAAUUAAAGUGCAUUGUAUAUUAAAUAAAGUGUUAAAUUUCUUGGAAAUGACAACUGCUAAGUCAUAAUUACAUGUACCUUUCUCGAGAGACGAGAUCCUCAUUUAAUUAAGAUAAAAUAAAAAAUAAAUUAUCAUUAAUAUAAUGAAAGAUUGCAACAUUAUAAUGAAAUAGUGCAAUAUUCUCUCUAAUGUUACACCAUUUAAAAGGAUGUUGCACUAUUUGAGAGAAUGUUGCACUUUUUCAUCUUAUUAACAAUACUUUACUUUUUGUAUUUUGUCUUAAAUGAGUAUUCUUGUCUCUCGAGAAAGGUACAUGCAAUUAUGACUUAGCAGUUGUCAUUUCCAAGAAAUUGCACUCUUUAUUUAAUAGAUAAAUACUUUAAUUUUUAAAAAGAAAGAGUGCAACAUACCAUCUAAAUGGUACAACAUUUUCUUAUAAUAGUGCAAUAAAUAUACAAAUGGUGUAAAUAUUUAUACAAAUAGUGCAAAAUAUGCACCGUUUAUAAUAUAAUGUAUGAUUUUUAUAGUAUUUUGUGAUAUGUUAUAUUAUUUUCGUAUUAUUUUCACGUAAUAUAUUGUAUUAUUCAUAAUUUUGUAUAAAAAAUCAUUCAAUAUGUGUAUUAACGAUGCAUAUAUUGCACUAUUUAUAUAAAUAUUGCACUAUUUGGAAGAGAAUGUUGUACUAUUUGAGACUAUGUUACACUCUUUAAGAGGAUGUUGCACUCUUUCAUUGUAUUAAUGAUAUUUUAUUUUUUAUUUUAUCUUAAUUAAAUGAGGAUUCUCGUUUCUCGAGAAAGGUACAUGUAAUUAUGACCUAUCAGUUGUUAUUUUCAAGAAAUUUAACACUUUAUUUAAUAUACAAUAUACUUUAAUUUUUAAAAAGAAAGAGUGCAACAUAACAUCUAAAUGGUGCAACAUUAUCUCAUAAUAGUGCAACAUCUAUGCAAAUGGUGUAAAUUUUUGUACAAAUAGUGCAAAAUAUUCACCGUUUAUACAUAUAAUGCAUGAUUUUUAUAGUAUAUUUUAAUAUGUUAUAUUAUUUUCGUAUUAUUUUCACGUAAUAUAUUAUAUUAUUCGUAAUUUUGUAUAAAAAUUAUGCAAUAUGUGUAUUAACGAUGCAUAUAUUGCACUAUUUACAUAAAUAUUGCACUAUUUGAAAGAGAAUGUUGCACUAUUUGAGACUAUGUUACACUCUUUAAGAGGAUGUUGCACUCUUUCAUUGUAUUAAUGAUAUUUUAUUUUUUAUUUUAUCUUAAUUAAAUAAGGAUCUCGUCUCUCGAGAAAGGUACAUGUAAUUAUGACUUAGCAGUUGUCAUUUCCAAAAAAUUUAACACUUUAUCUAAUAUACAAUGCACUUUAAUAUUUAAAAAGAAAGAGUGCAACAUAACAUCUAAAUGGUGCAACAUUAUCUCAUAAUAGUGUAACAUUUAUGCAAAUAGUGUAAAUAUUUGUACAAAUAGUGUAAAAUAUUCACCGUUUAUACAUAUAAUACAUGAUUUUUAUAGUAUAUUGUAAUACGUUAUAUUAUUUGCCCGUAGUAUACUAUAUUAUUCGUAAUUUAGUAUAAAAAAUUGUGCAACAUUAUAUAAAUUGUGCAAAUAUUGCACUGUUUAUACAAAUAUUACACUAUUUGGAAGAAAUAUUGCACAAUUUGAAACGAUGUUGCACUAUUUAAGGUGUAUUCUAUUCUUUCUUUUUUACUUUUAUUAUUUGAAGUUUUUUAUUUGUAUGUUAAUGAGAAUUUUAUUUUCCAAGAAAAAGGUAAUUGUAAUAAUGACUUGUCAGCUGCAUUUUUCAAGAUAAUUAAUGCAUGUAUUUCUUAUGAAUUUUGAAAGAGGGAUAGUUUGGUCAUCUUUUUGAAAAAGUGGAUCGAAUCUGCAAAAACGAAAAAGGUGGCCAUGUUUUGCAAAAGCUCAAAACUAGUGGAUUUUUUAUGCAAAUUGGCCAAUUUUAUUUAUAGAAAGCCAUGCCUGGGUGUACAUUCUAGACUUUCCACUUUUAGGGUUCUAAAAAACCUCUCAUUGGAUUUUUAGUAAAGAAAAAAAAGGGAAAAACUUUAAAUACCACCCCUAUGGUUUCAUACUUUUUCAUUUUUAAUACCCUGUGGUUUAAAGUGUAUCAAUUUAGUGGCAUGUAGUUUCAUUUUUAUUUUUUUAUAAUCGAUUUCACUAAUUUUUUCGUUAAAUCAAUGAUAAAGCUAAAACUAAAGGAUACUAAAAUGAAUAUUCGAUAAAUCUAAGUGAAGUGUCUAAAGUUUUUUAUAUAUAAUUUAAUGAAAUAUUAACGAAAAAGUUGACGAAAAGAUAAAAUGAAACCACAGGACACUAGUUUGAUGCACUGUAAACCAUAUGAUACUAAAGCGAGAAAAUGCGAAAUCACAGGAGUAGUAUUUGAAGUUUACACAAAAAAAAUUGCUAAGAGUUUAGAAU